GGCCGGGCGUCCACACCCGACUGGGUCUCGGAGGGUCCCCAGCCCGGACUCCGGAGAGCCCUCAGCUCAGAUUCCAUCCUCAGCCCGGCCCCAGAUGCCCGUGCGGCCGACCCAGCUGCAGAAGUGAGGAAGGUGAACCGCAUCCCACCUGAUGCCUACCAGCCUUACCUGAGCCCCGGGACCCCCCAGCUAGAAUUCUCAGCCUUCGGAGCAUUCGGCAAGCCCAGCAGUCUCUCCACAGCGGAGGCCAAGGCUGCGACUUCACCAAAGGCCACGACGUCCCUGAGGCAUCUCUCAGAAUCCUCUGGAAAACCCCUGAGCACAAAGCAAGAGGCAUCGAAGCCCCCUCGGGGAUCCCCGCAAGCCAACAGGGGUGUCGUGCGGUGGGAGUACUUCCGCCUGCGUCCUCUGCGGUUCAGGGCCCCAGACGAGCCCCAGCAGGCCCAAGUCCCCCAUGUCUGGGGCUGGGAGGUGGCCGGGGCCCCCGCGCUGAGGCUGCAGAAGUCCCAGUCGUCUGAUCUGCUGGAAAGGGAGAGGGAGAGCGUCCUGCGCCGGGAGCAAGAGGUGGCAGAGGAGCGGAGGAAUGCUCUCUUCCCAGAGGUCUUCUCCCCAACGCCAGAUGAGAACUCUGACCAGAACUCCAGGAGCUCCUCCCAGGCAUCCGGCAUCACGGGCAGUUACUCGGUGUCUGAGUCUCCCUUCUUCAGCCCCAUCCACCUACACUCAAGCGUGGCGUGGACAGUGGAAGAUCCAGUGGACAGUGCUCCUCCCGGGCAGAGAAAGAAGGAGCAAUGGGCUGGAGUACAGUAGCACGAUCUUGGCUCAUUGCAACCUCCACCUCCCGGGUUGAAGUGAUUCUCCUGCCUCAGCCUCCCGAGUAGCUGGGAUUA
RNAcentral lists this small RNA (890 nucleotides) under Pan troglodytes (chimpanzee). Its description in RNAcentral is "processed transcript". Lineage: Eukaryota; Metazoa; Chordata; Mammalia; Primates; Hominidae. The record is from RNAcentral.